UGUACUUGGUCGCUAGGAUAGUGCAUACAUCUAUAUGUAUUGGACACUUGGACAUAUAGUAUACUUGAUAGUAUUGCUUAUUGCAUUUAGUAUACUUGGGUGCCAUGUUAGAGCAUACUAGACAGGUUUUGGCAUAUUGGAUCAUGAUAGAGUAGAUGUACUCCAUGUUCAUAUCAUAUAUACUUGUGACAUAGUAGUAUAGCAUUUAUUAUAUGCUUUCUUUUCCGCAGUUACUUAUUAUUAUCCUUACCUGCUUAUGUUUUGGGUCUAGUGGUGCAUUUUGCUCAGGUCAGUAAUUGCCCACUGGGAACUAUAAAUUAUAGUUCUCACGCCCCCUGUUUUAUGUUUUCAUACAAAGCCUUCCACUCCGGGAGAGGCUCGGGAUCGCAGGAAAGGUAUCGCCUCGGGCUAGAUAGCGAGGGACUUGUCGAUAGGUGAUCCACCUCUCUUUUGUUUCAUUUUGGAGAGGUUGAGAGAUUUGUACCUUUUUGUAGAGACCACCCCUUAUAUGUAUCUUGAGAUUUAUGAUGUUUUAACUUAUGCUUUACUUUAGUGG
Molecule: long non-coding RNA, 556 nt
Filed under: Ananas comosus (pineapple)
Lineage: Eukaryota; Viridiplantae; Streptophyta; Magnoliopsida; Poales; Bromeliaceae
Description: long non-coding RNA (ACOM_LNC035839)
Source: RNAcentral